GGAUCAUUCCCGGUGUAACCAAGGCCUUGUUUGUGAAGGACACAGAAGAGGAAGCUGUAUAAUUCCACCAAGGGCGCCUCCAUCACCACCAUGGCAGCAGGUGGAGUCCCCCGUGCCCUCGCAGGUGGCAGAGCAGCUGGUCCACGUGUCAGAGACGGUGAUCACAGAGGAGACGUUUGAUGCGGCCGUACAGUUUGGCACAGUGCCGGGUUAACCCGCCCAGUACUGAGCAGGAUGACCUGUUUGCAUGCCCCCUUGGUUGCCCUCAACACCUACUGGGGAAGCAUGGAAGGACAUCUACUCCACCAACAUGUACGGCUUCCACUUUCAGCCUCACAGAUGAGUAAUGAGAUCAUCCGCCUGUGCUUCCAAAGCAUCUCUCUGGACAGGAUCUUUGAGGGCUUUGUGUCAUCCAGCCAGCAGAACCUCAGCGACUGUGUCCAGUGCUGCUUGUCCUGGAAGGACGUUUACCUGCAAGCCUCACAGAUUCACCACCAGAUAAGGAGGUGUUGAACAUCAGGGACUAUGUUGAUGAUUUCUGCUGCAGCCAGUUUCCUGUUAUGCUGUCGGAGACAACAGCUUUCGGACUCAUCACACAACACCUCUCGCCUUCAUGAG
RNAcentral lists this long non-coding RNA (618 nucleotides) under Cottoperca gobio. RNAcentral's name for it is "lncRNA (ENSCGOG00000005005.1)". Lineage: Eukaryota; Metazoa; Chordata; Actinopteri; Perciformes; Bovichtidae. The record is from RNAcentral.